This 299-nucleotide signal recognition particle RNA is filed under the name Cebus imitator (Panamanian white-faced capuchin). Its description in RNAcentral is "Metazoan signal recognition particle RNA (ENSCCAG00000008185.1)". It matches the Rfam family "Metazoan signal recognition particle RNA". From Rfam's summary of the family: The signal recognition particle (SRP) is a universally conserved ribonucleoprotein. It is involved in the co-translational targeting of proteins to membranes. The record is from RNAcentral. Lineage: Eukaryota; Metazoa; Chordata; Mammalia; Primates; Cebidae.
GCCGGGCGCAGUGGUGUUUGCCUGUAGUCCCCGCUACUUGGGAGGCUGAGGCUGGAGGAUUGCUGGAGUCCAGGAGUUCUGGGCUGAAGUGCACUAUGCUGAUUGGGUGUCCGCACUAAGUUCGGCAUCAAUAUGGUGACCUCCUGGGAGCAGGGGACCAACAGGUUGCCUAAGGAGAGGUGAACCGGCCCAGGUCGGAAACAGAGCAGGUCAAAACUCCCAUGUAGAUCAGUAGUGGGAUCACGCCUGUGAAGAGCCACUGCACUCCAGCCUGGGCAACAUAGCAAGAACCCAUCUCU